This is a non-coding RNA of Phrynosoma platyrhinos (Desert horned lizard), 68 nucleotides long. The record is from the annotation of a GenBank genome assembly. Lineage: Eukaryota; Metazoa; Chordata; Lepidosauria; Squamata; Phrynosomatidae.
GACUGGAUUGCUUGGUAGAGGGGCAGGAUAUAACUCUGGAGACCAAGGUUCGAUUCCCUGCUCAGUCA